GGAGGAUGCAGGAAGAGGGUGAGUUUAGGUUCUGGAGACAGAACUGCCGGAGGAGGCAGGAAGAGGGUGAGUUUAGGUUCUGGAGACAGGAAGAGGGUGAGUUUUGGUUCUGGAUACAACAGAACUACCGGAGGAUGCAGGAAGAGGGUGAGUUUAGGUUCUGGAGACAGGAAGAGGGUGAGUUUAGGUUCUGGAGACAGGAAGAGGGUGAGUUUUGGUUCUGGAUACAACAGAACUACCGGAGGAUGCAGGAAGAGGGUGAGUUUAGGUUCUGGAGACAGAACUGCCGGAGGAGGCAGGAAGAGGGUGAGUUUAGGUUCUGGAGACAGGAAGAGGGUGAGUUUAGGUUCUGGAGACA
Molecule: long non-coding RNA, 358 nt
Organism: Oncorhynchus gorbuscha (pink salmon)
Lineage: Eukaryota; Metazoa; Chordata; Actinopteri; Salmoniformes; Salmonidae
Exons: 3
Source: RefSeq, a predicted model, not a curated record